This 253-nucleotide ribosomal RNA is filed under the name uncultured archaeon. RNAcentral's name for it is "partial 16S ribosomal RNA". It matches the Rfam family "Archaeal small subunit ribosomal RNA", at positions 474 to 726 of the family's 1478-position model. The record is from RNAcentral.
UCCCAGCGCCACAAGUGGCAAUCGCUUUUAUUGGGCCUAAAGCGUCCGUAGCAGGUUUUGUAAAUCUUUUGUGAAAGCGUUAUACUCAAUAUAACGAAUGGCAAGAGACACUGCAAAACUAGGAACCGGUAGGAGUCAGGGGUAUUCUUGGGGGAGCGGUAAAAUGUUAUAAUCCCAAGAGGACCACCCGUGGCGUAGGCGCCUGACUAGAACGGAUUCGACUGUGAGGGACGAAAGCUAGGGGAGCAAUCCG